This 76-nucleotide transfer RNA is filed under the name Mesorhizobium sp. RNAcentral's name for it is "tRNA-Thr". It matches the Rfam family "tRNA". Rfam says of the family: Transfer RNA (tRNA) molecules are approximately 80 nucleotides in length. Their secondary structure includes four short double-helical elements and three loops (D, anti-codon, and T loops). The record is from RNAcentral. Lineage: Bacteria; Pseudomonadati; Pseudomonadota; Alphaproteobacteria; Hyphomicrobiales; Phyllobacteriaceae.
GCCCGUGUAGCUCAGACGGUAGAGCGCUUGCCUUGUAAGCAAGGUGUCCGGAGUUCAACUCUUCGCUAGGGCACCA